Molecule: long non-coding RNA, 1008 nt
Filed under: Heterocephalus glaber (naked mole-rat)
Lineage: Eukaryota; Metazoa; Chordata; Mammalia; Rodentia; Bathyergidae
Description: lncRNA (ENSHGLG00100046627.1)
Source: RNAcentral
UUUACCUCAAGGAUGUAAGUAAUAAUGUACAUAAUAAUGAUAGUAAUAUCAAUAUUAGCUAUGAUUUACUGAGCUUACUCUUUUGUCAACGUUGUGCUAAAUUUUAUUUAUGUCUUUAUUGAACAAAAAGUUAUUGAUUCAUUUUUGUAUAUUAGAGAUCAAACAAGAUAAUUAAGACUUCAAAAUUGAUCAGAAAAAUCUUUCUAUUUGUAGUUCAGGGGAUUGAACCCAGGACCACACACUUGCUAUAUUGCGUAUGCAUGUGCUUUUGUGGACAGAAUGUCCAGGUUGCAGAAACCAGAAGACUCUGAGUAAGUUGUGUUUAUGUAAUAAUUUCUAAAAAUGGUACAAAAUGGGAGCAUUGAAAGAUGUUGUUUUCUAGGCUGGCAAAUAGAGUCAAGUCUUAGUUCAUAAAGUUAUAGAUAGGUCAAGGCAACUAGUUAUCUAUGGACCUUCUGUACAUAAUCACAUAUUAUGUGGGCCUCAUUUAUUUCAAAUUUAUAUAGGUGCUUUGGUUGUGCACAAAAGAAGCAUGAAUAAAUCAUCUGAGUUUAAGUUAUUCAGUUAUUACAAUCAAUUUCCACAUGGAGAAACUUUUUUAUUUCCUUUUUAACUUUCAUUACACAUAAUUAGCAACCAUAACAUUCAUUGUAGGGAAUUGGUACAUGCACAUUACACAUUUCAAUUCUUGUUUCCUCUUUCCCUCCACUCCCUCUUUCAGGUAAAAUAAAAAUUUUAAUGUAAAAAUGUUUGCCAUUAUUUGGUAGUUUAAUUUUGAUUUAUUUUUACUAUAUCUCAGGCUUAAAAAAAGGAAUUGCCCUUAUUUGAGUCAUUUUGGACCAAGAAAAAUAGGAAAAAACAAUUGUAAAACCAAGCCAGGACUCAAAAUUUCUUACUGAGAUGGAAUAAAUUGUUUCCAUGUACACUUCUUUGGCUAAAGCUUAAUCACAUAGGAAAAGAAGCAAGCCAGAACAGGUAUAUAAUUCUGCUUCAGUGAAUGGUAGAGGA